GGCUAAAUACUCCUGACUGACCGAUAGUGAACCAGUACCGUGAGGGAAAGGCGAAAAGAACCCCGGCGAGGGGAGUGAAAAAGAACCUGAAACCGUGUACGUACAAGCAGUGGGAGCACAGGUUUACCUGUGUGACUGCGUACCUUUUGUAUAAUGGGUCAGCGACUUAUAUUCUGUAGCAAGGUUAACCGAAUAGGGGAGCCGGAGGGAAACCGAGUCUUAAUUGGGCGUUAAGUUGCAGGGUAUAGACCCGAAACCCGGUGAUCUAGCCAUGGGCAGGUUGAAGGUUGGGUAACACUAACUGGAGGACCGAACCGACUAAUGUUGAAAAAUUAGCGGAUGACCUGUGGCUGGGGGUGAAAGGCCAAUCAAACCGGGAGAUAGCUGGUUCUCCCCGAAAGCUAUUUAGGUAGCGCCUCGUGAAUUCAUCUCCGGGGGUAGAGCACUGUUUCGGCUAGGGGGCCAUCCCGGCUUACCAACCCGAUGCAAACUGCGAAUACCGGAGAAUGUUAUCACGGGAGACACACGGCGGGUGCUAACGUCCGUCGUGAAGAGGGAAACAACCCAGACCGCCAGCUAAGGUCCCAAAGUCAUGGUUAAGUGGGAAACGAUGUGGGAAGGCCCAGACAGCCAGGAUGUUGGCUUAGAAGCAGCCAUCAUUUAAAGAAAGCGUAAUAGCUCACUGGUCGAGUCGGCCUGCGCGGAAGAUGUAACGGGGCUAAACCAUGCACCGAAGCUGCGGCAGCGACGCUUAUGCGUUGUUGGGUAGGGGAGCGUUCUGUAAGCCUGUGAAGGUGUGUCGUGAGGCAUGCUGGAGGUAUCAGAAGUGCGAAUGCUGACAUAAGUAACGAUAAAGCGGGUGAAAAGCCCGCUCGCCGGAAGACCAAGGGUUCCUGUCCAACGUUAAUCGGGGCAGGGUGAGUCGACCCCUAAGGCGAGGCCGAAAGGCGUAGUCGAUGGGAAACGGGUUAAUAUUCCCGUACUUGGUGUUACUGCGAAGGGGGGACGGAGAAGGCUAUGUUGGCCGGGCGACGGUUGUCCCGGUUUAAGCGUGUAGGUGUGUGUUCCAGGUAAAUCCGGUUCACUUUAACACUGAGGCGUGAUGACGAGGCACUACGGUGCUGAAGUAACAAAUGCCCUGCUUCCAGGAAAAGCCUCUAAGCAUCAGGUAACAUCAAA
RNAcentral lists this ribosomal RNA (1179 nucleotides) under Salmonella enterica subsp. enterica serovar Dublin. Its description in RNAcentral is "partial 23S ribosomal RNA". It matches the Rfam family "Bacterial large subunit ribosomal RNA", at positions 464 to 1641 of the family's 2925-position model. The record is from RNAcentral. Lineage: Bacteria; Pseudomonadati; Pseudomonadota; Gammaproteobacteria; Enterobacterales; Enterobacteriaceae.